GACGAACGCUGGCGGCGUGCUUAACACAUGCAAGUCGAACGGAAAGGCCCUGCUUUUGUGGGGUGCUCGAGUGGCGAACGAGUGAGUAACACGUGAGUAACCUGCCCUUGACUUUGGGAUAACUUCAGGAAACUGGGGCUAAUACCGGAUAGGAGCUCCUGCUGCAUGGUGGGGGUUGGAAAGUUUCGGCGGUUGGGGAUGGACUCGCGGCUUAUCAGCUUGUUGGUGGGGUAGUGGCUUACCAAGGCUUUGACGGGUAGCCGGCCUGAGAGGGUGACCGGCCACAUUGGGACUGAGAUACGGCCCAGACUCCUACGGGAGGCAGCAGUGGGGAAUAUUGCACAAUGGGCGGAAGCCUGAUGCAGCAACGCCGCGUGCGGGAUGACGGCCUUCGGGUUGUAAACCGCUUUCGCCUGUGACGAAGCGUGAGUGACGGUAAUGGGUAAAGAAGCACCGGCUAACUACGUGCCAGCAGCCGCGGUGAUACGUAGGGUGCGAGCGUUGUCCGGAUUUAUUGGGCGUAAGGGCUCGUAGGUGGUUGAUCGCGUCGGAAGUGUAAUCUUGGGGCUUAACCCUGAGCGUGCUUUCGAUACGGGUUGACUUGAGGAAGGUAGGGGAGAAUGGAAUUCCUGGUGGAGCGGUGGAAUGCGCAGAUAUCAGGAGGAGCACCAGUGGCGAAGGCGGUUCUCUGGGCCUUUCCUGACGCUGAGGAGCGAAAGCGUGGGGAGCGAACAGGCUUAGAUACCCUGGUAGUCCACGCUGUAAACGGUGGGUACUAGGUGUGGGGUCCAUUCCACGGGUUCCGUGCCGUAGCUAACGCUUUAAGUACCCCGCCUGGGGAGUACGGCCGCAAGGCUAAAACUCAAAGGAAUUGACGGGGCCCCGCACAAGCGGCGGAGCAUGCGGAUUAAUUCGAUGCAACGCGUAGAACCUUACCUGGGUUUGACAUGGAUCGGGAGCGCUCAGAGAUGGGUGUGCCUCCUUUGGGGUCGGUUCACAGGUGGUGCAUGGCUGUCGUCAGCUCGUGUCGUGAGAUGUUGGGUUAAGUCCCGCAACGAGCGCAACCCUUGUUCACUGUUGCCAGCACGUUAUGGUGGGGACUCAGUGGAGACCGCCGGGGUCAACUCGGAGGAAGGUGGGGAUGACGUCAAGUCAUCAUGCCCCUUAUGUCCAGGGCUUCACGCAUGCUACAAUGGCUGGUACAGAGAGUGGCGAGCCUGUGAGGGUGAGCGAAUCUCGGAAAGCCGGUCUCAGUUCGGAUUGGGGUCUGCAGCUCGACCUCAUGAAGUCGGAGUCGCUAGUAAUCGCAGAUCAGCAACGCUGCGGUGAAUACGUUCCCGGG
Molecule: ribosomal RNA, 1342 nt
Filed under: uncultured bacterium
Lineage: Bacteria
Description: 16S ribosomal RNA
Rfam family: Bacterial small subunit ribosomal RNA
Source: RNAcentral